This 553-nucleotide long non-coding RNA is filed under the name Anser brachyrhynchus (Pink-footed goose). RNAcentral's name for it is "lncRNA (ENSABRG00000004487.1)". Lineage: Eukaryota; Metazoa; Chordata; Aves; Anseriformes; Anatidae. The record is from RNAcentral.
AGUGUCUAAAUUAGGUUCAAUUCAUCUUAAAUACUGUCCUAUAGAUAGUUAUCCAAAAUAGACAUCUCCAAAAGAUAAUUCUACUUAUGUUAUCUGAAGUCUGCUUUAGAUAUAUUUUCCUCACCACUACUUGUGGGAACUUACUGUAUUUAACUUUUUAGGUAUCAGCCUGAGCUGAUACCUAAAAUCAAGUGCAGUUAAUAAAUGCUUUGUGAAUGUUCAGUCAAUGUAGUAAAAAGAGAUAUUUAAAUGUAACUGUAAAAAGAUUAUGAUAUAUUAACAAUUUAUGUCUUAUUGACCUAGGCAGGAUCUUGGGGGAAAUGCAAUGCUACUUAUCAUGAGGAAGAUAUUUUAUCAAAAUCAAGACUUAUAUUAAUACCACACAACUACACAACUACAGAGGAAAAGUGCCAAGAGAUUCUGUGUCUUGGCACUGUCUGUGCCAAGACAGUUCCCAAGACUCCUUUUCCAUAUGUAAGUAUUCUUUUUCUUCUGUAGUAAGAAGUAGAUGCCACAGACCAAUGAUUUUGGAUAUAUCUGUGAUAUCUGUUUC